UGGGGAAUAUUGGACAAUGGGCGAAAGCCUGAUCCAGCCAUGCCGCGUGUGUGAAGAAGGUCUUCGGAUUGUAAAGCACUUUAAGUUGGGAGGAAGGGCAGUAAAUUAAUACUUUGCUGUUUUGACGUUACCGACAGAAUAAGCACCGGCUAACUCUGUGCCAGCAGCCGCGGUAAUACAGAGGGUGCAAGCGUUAAUCGGAAUUACUGGGCGUAAAGCGCGCGUAGGUGGUUUGUUAAGUUGGAUGUGAAAGCCCCGGGCUCAACCUGGGAACUGCAUCCAAAACUGGCAAGCUAGAGUACGGUAGAGGGUGGUGGAAUUUCCUGUGUAGCGGUGAAAUGCGUAGAUAUAGGAAGGAACACCAGUAG
Molecule: ribosomal RNA, 368 nt
Filed under: uncultured bacterium
Lineage: Bacteria
Description: bacterial SSU rRNA
Rfam family: Bacterial small subunit ribosomal RNA
Source: RNAcentral